RNAcentral lists this non-coding RNA (170 nucleotides) under Schistocephalus solidus. RNAcentral's name for it is "Eukaryotic small subunit ribosomal RNA". It matches the Rfam family "Eukaryotic small subunit ribosomal RNA", at positions 1668 to 1823 of the family's 1831-position model. The record is from Rfam by way of RNAcentral. Lineage: Eukaryota; Metazoa; Platyhelminthes; Cestoda; Diphyllobothriidea; Diphyllobothriidae.
ACUGCUCGUCAGUACUACCGAUUGAAUGGUUAUGUUAGGCCCUCGGAUUGGAGCCAUUGCAGUGCCAGCCGCAAGGUUUGUGCUCAACAGGUGCCGAGAAGAUGACCAAUCUUGAUCAUUUAGAGGAAUUUAAAGUCGUAUCAAGGUUUCCGUAGGUGAACCUACGGAAG